Molecule: long non-coding RNA, 1100 nt
Filed under: Homo sapiens (human)
Lineage: Eukaryota; Metazoa; Chordata; Mammalia; Primates; Hominidae
Description: HSALNT0302220
Source: RNAcentral
AAAAUAACUUCAGAACUAUUUGCAUAUAACCACUGCAAAAGAGUUGUUUUGUUUUUCUUUGUUUACUUAGCUGCUUACAGUAUACACAUUUCCACUUUAUUCCCUGAUGUUACUGGUUCUUCUCCCUACCACACCCUGCCUGUCUGCCAAAGUUUUAGAUGUUUACAGUGUUCUUCCCAUCUGCAUGCUAGACAGUUUCUACCUUAAACACCAUUGAUCUCGUCCCUGAACUCCAAACUCCAUAUGUCCACCUGCCAUCUUAACCUUUCAAUUUGGAAGUCUAAUAGGCUUCUCAAACUUAACAUGUCUAGAAAAAAACUGUUGACGUCCCUCCACUAAUCCCCCCCACCAAAAUUUUAAAAUUAAAACCGCAGUACUGUCUUAUCCUUCCCUGUUUCUAUUAAUGGCAUCAUCAUCUGCCCAAUUAGUAAAACUGCAAACCUGUUGUCAUUAAAAACUUCUUGUUAUUAAGAUUCUUUAUUCUUCCUUUUGCUUCAUCAUUCUCUACUAUUAACUCCAUCUGCUUCUUUCCCUCUUUUUCCUCCAGCUACCUGACUCUAGGCAGCCAUCAUCUCCCUCUUGAUAUACUGAGAAAGUCUCUUACCAGGACUUCCUGUUUUCACUUUUGUCUUUUUAAAAUCCAUUUUCUACAGCAUAAUUUUUAAAAAGUAUGUCAGAUCCCAUCUCUGUUCCCGUUGUCUCUGGAAUAAAAUUCAAACUCCUUGCCAUGGAGACUUACAAGAGCUUGUCUACUCUCCAGCCUUAUUUCUUAGUACUUUCCCCUUUUUUUGGUUAUGUCUCAGCCAGAUUGCCCUCCUUUCAAUUUCAGCACUGUAGCUUGUUACUACGUGUGGCCAUUCAAAACAGUAGAUAUUUAUUACAAACUUACUUUUAGGGACGAGACACUACUGCCUCCAGAGAAGGAAAGAAAUUUUGUUAGAAUAUUAUAAAAGGGUGGCAUGUAAAGGUAGCUAGACUGCCUUAUCUCCAUUUCUUCUCAGUGUCAGAAAACUCUCAAACUAAAAUGGAAAUAAGUUGCUGAUUCACUUUAAAACCCAAACUUACUUAAAAUAAACUGUCAGUUCUAAGCUGAGAUUUAC